CGCUCCAUAGGCUCCCUGGUGGGGCGCGGGCGCGGGCGCGCGCACGGACGUCCAGCACGCACGCACAUCCAGCACGCACGCACGUACGUCCGGCACUUCCGGCCGCGGCGGCCUCAGCGCCGGCCCGAAGGGACCAGGCCGCCGUCCCCAGCGAGAGGCAUGCAGCACUGAGGAGCGGCGACCCAGCACGGCGGCGCCAUGAACCUCCUGCCGUGUAACCCUCACGGCAACGGGCUGCUCUACGCCGGCUUCAACCAGGACCACGGAUGCUUUGCGUGUGGGAUGGAAAAUGGAUUCCGAGUCUAUAACACUGAUCCACUAAAAGAAAAAGAGAAACAAGAAUUUCUAGAAGGAGGAGUUGGCCAUGUUGAAAUGUUAUUUCGCUGCAACUAUUUAGCUUUAGUUGGUGGUGGAAAAAAGCCGAAAUACCCUCCCAACAAAGUAAUGAUCUGGGAUGACCUGAAGAAGAAGACUGUUAUUGAAAUAGAAUUUUCUACAGAAGUCAAGGCAGUCAAACUGCGGCGAGAUAGGGGUCCGCUGGAGGUAAGUAGGUGGUGGCGUGGAUGACGUGCGCCACAGUGGACCAGCCAGUGGGUCUCACCAUGGUGAGUUCUGUCCCAUUCCGACAUGUGCAGAGCUGAGGACAUGAGUUUUGAGCCUUGAAUUACCCUGGGGUUUUAGCCCCUGCUUUGCCAAAUGCUGCCUCUCAAUAAAGGUUUUCGGUUUGAAGGUAAAGGAAAAUUGAAUUUU
Molecule: small RNA, 750 nt
Filed under: Pan troglodytes (chimpanzee)
Lineage: Eukaryota; Metazoa; Chordata; Mammalia; Primates; Hominidae
Description: processed transcript
Source: RNAcentral